AAACAUUUAUCUGUAGCCGCCACAAGAACCGAAAACAGAAAACCCUAUAAAUCCAUAAACCCUAUAAAGCAAAUGCAUUCACCACGAGUUGGUAGAUGAUAUCGAUUGGCUUUUCAGGCAUUGUGCAAAUUAAGUUAUCCUCAACGAUAAGCUGGCAUUGAAGAUGGAUAUGUGAAGGUUGCUAUUGGAAGUCUGUCCUACUGCCUUACCAGAUUGAUUCCAGAAUCUUAUUCCGGGCUUUGGUGUUGGUGUUAAAAAAAGGCUUAAGAGGAUAAUUUCAUAUUGAUGCUUUGUUACAAAUUUCGGGCAAUGAAAAUUCAUAUUUGGUUCUGAUCUAUAUGAUUUAUGGUGGUGGAAUGGAUAUUUGUAGACCUGACCUGAUUAUUUACUAUAAUAUUGAUAUGAGAACACAAACUCAAUGCCAAUUGUCUAAUCAUAGAUAUGGAAGAAUGGUGGGUUCCUUAGGGAAGCUUGAUCCACAUCGGAUCUGGAUGAAAAAUAAAUAGAUAGUUAGUCUCAUCUAAUAACGUAAGCCUUGGAGUCCGAUAACAAACUACCCAUCCGUUACAUGUGGUAUUAGAGUUAGACCUAGUUUUUGAUUUGAUGUCAUGCCAAAUGCCUGGCCCGAAGGGUGUCCAGGUUUGCAUCCCGAGUAGAAAGGAUGGCUCGUGAGGAGCUUGUCUCACAUUAGAUUCAAAUGAAAAAAAUGAAUGGGUAUCCAUUGGUUGAGUAUUAGUCCACCUAAUAAUUUAAAUUUUUGGAUUCGAUAGGGAGAUUUCAACUUUCUUAAUUCUCAUUAAAAAAACAAAAUUCUCAUAAUUAGCAACUAGGUUUUCAAAAUUUUAAUUUAAUAUAUCUAUAUAUAUCCAAGCACAUUAUACAAGAGUGGGAUUAGAGAAAAUUUGAGAUCAGCGACCUAACCUUAAAGUUCAAAGAAGACAUAUAGUCACCAACCUAAAAAAUAAAACAUGCUAAUGGUGAAUAAUUUUGAACAUUACUCGCGUCCUCCCUCAUGCAACAAUAAUUUUGUACAACACUAGUGAGAUGUACAGCGUCCCCCCAUAACACAUCAUCAUAAUUUGAUAAUUGUAUCAAUUUACCCACACAUCAAUGGUGAGAUUUACCCAGAUUUACCCACACAUAAAUUUGAUAAUUGUAUCAAUUUACCCACACAUCAAUGGUGAGAUUUACCCACACAUAAAUGGUGUGAGCUAGACCCUCUGUAAAAAUUUCUUUACGCGGCUGUUGCUUAGCUCCACAAAAGUCCAAGCAGUCCCAGCAGCAUCUGCUCAUUUGCGCUCUCAAGUGCCAUCUACCGGUGACCCCCUUUCGAAGAAGAAGAUCCUGAACGGCAGGACGACGUCGUCGUCUUCGUAAUACGGAAUCGCGUUGCGGGUGAAUUGUGCACCUGCUAUACCCAAUCGGCUUUCUUCACAUCACGUGCCAGUUUGCUUUCAUGGCGCAAAUCUGUGAGAUAUGGGAAAAUGGUUUUUGUUAUGCAUCAAUUGAUGUUUAUUCAGUGCAUUUCCACCCCCAAAACUUGAUUUCAACUACGAGAAUCAGUAGUGGAGACAAAACAAAAUGAAUGAGUGUUAAACAGGUAAUUCACCAGGAAAAUAAAAGAUGUGGAACAGGGUCCAGUAACUGUGGCAGAUAAAAGAUGUGGAACAGGGUCCCGUAACUGUGGCAGAUAAAAGAUGUGGAACAGGAUCCCGUAACUGUGGCUGGAAAAAACCAUGGAAAAUAACAGAAUUGGAAGGGAUGUUAGAAAAGGAGAAAGCAGAGUUCGAGGAAUCACUCCAGAAAAUCUUGAACAGGAAGGCAAAAAAGGGCCAACCUGUCAUUGAUAUCCUUGAGAUUUGACAUUAAUCGACAGCAAAGGCAGUUGUUCUUCCAGUCUGAUAUGUGGGACCACCGCCUGAUUUAUAUAGCCAGUAUAGACAGCAACAGCCUUCCAGAUGAUUUGAGUGGCUCCAACUCAGAACAGGUAAAGAAAUCCCUCUGUGCUAAUGAGAAGCUCAAUGAGAUGAGUAUGCCGGCAAUGGUUUAUGUAGUUGCGACUCUAUUGUUCUGGAUUCAAAGCCCAAUGAAAGUCAUAAUCUGGGAGGAAGAAUUAUUAGGCACACUAACCAGACUGAGAUAAUUCAUCAAGGGAAUGAAUUGGAUUUAGACUCGAAUCAUGAAAAAGAAAACUGAGCUAAUCUUUCUACUGAUACAAACAUUGGUGAUGAAUCUGAUCCUCUGGAAUUUAAUGAAAUUUAUCAUAGGGCCCUCUCUGAGGGGCAAUACCUUAUUAUGGCAUCUUUGUCAGACACUCUUGAUGGACUGGUGAAAAUCCCUCAGGAAUGGGAAUGCCCAAGGUUAAUACUUGUACAGCUCCUGCAUCUGCUGUUUCAGAUUCUUCAACUGCGGUAGCAGUGGUAGGAAAAUUAGAUUUGAGAAAUCAUGAAGAGGACCAGAGAAGGCCCAAGGCAUCACACAUUGGCAUAUUCCCAGGCAUCACAUAUUGGCAUAUUCCCAUUCUCCUUUGUCCACCAUAAACUUGUAUCGUUUGUUAUGAAUAUUCUAGGGAGUACUCAGAAGCUGGAUGCACUUAGUGAGCAUCUAUGUCUCAUCAUUUCAGCAGUUACAGCUCCAAGGAAGAGCUAGGUUGCUUUUUCCUGUGGAUGUUAAUGAACGCUGUUGUUCCUGUUAUGAUGAUGACCCCACCAGUGUUAUAUCUUAUGCACUGGCAUCACCAGAUUAUCUUGUUCAACUGUCUGACGAACCUGAAAGACCACAAGACACGGGAAUUUAUGGUUCCACUACAGUCCCUUGAUUCAGUGAACUUUCAGUCUUUCCAUUUCUUUGAUGACGAGAGCAUCUUAUCCCUGUCUGGGUCUUGUAGCUCCCUUGUCUGGAUCGACUCUUUUACACAGAGGCUCUGCAUGCGAGAGUUUCUUUUGAAGAUGAUGGCCCCUUGGUUAGGUGAAAUAUACAGUUGACUUGUUCAUGCAAAGCUGGUUGAAGCCUUGAGGAGGUUAUGGAUUUCAUAAGGUCACUUAAUCGUCAGAAGCGGGGCAAUAACAAUGUCUUCUUUUAAGAAACCAUGGAUGAUAAUUUUAUUCUAUACAACUUCCAAAGAUAGAGCUGGAAUCAUUGAUAUAGUUUGCUCCUGGAUAUUUCAAGUAUUUAUCUGAAUCAAUUGGCAUGGGAAGCCCCACACACCUGGCAAAGAUUCUGGGGAUUUAUCAGGCUAUCAAUGUAAUUGAUUAUUCAUUCCUGGUCGUGGUGGAUCGAAGAGAAGUAUGAGCCUAGUGAUCAUCGGUUUCAUGAGACAAUAUGCAUAGGACAAGCAUCUUAAAACAUGGAUUAAGGCUUCAGGUAGCUUGGUGGGGCAAAGAACUGUUCUCCAACGGUAAUUUCACCCCUGCAAUACAAGAAAAGGUUCAAGAAAGCUGUGACUACCUAUUUUCUUAUGGUCCCUGAUCAGUGGUCCACUUCAACUAUCAUUCCAAGUAAGUCCCGCACUAAUCUCUGUGAAGAGAACUCUCAUGGUAGGACCCUCAGUUGAGUGAUACAGUAAAUCUGUGUGCUUGUACAUUUGAGCAAACGAUUUGGGAAUCAUUCUUCCCAUAUCAGAUUUCACUCAGUCUUGUGUUUUCCUUCUUCCAUAUUGCAAUUUUUUUGGAUAGCAGUUUCAUUUGUAUUCUUCUUAAAUUGAGAAUCACUAUUGUUUGUCAGAAGAUACAAAACAAGUCUAUCAAAUGCAAAGCCAUGAGAAUUUCCCCAAGAUAUUAUCUUUAGAUGAGCUCCCCAAAAAGUUUUGUAUCUAGCAUUGCAUUAUGUAUAUAAAUUACAAUGAUACAAGUGUUCCUUUCUAUGUAUUCUAUGAAAAUUUUGUAGUCAACAAUACGCGGGAUACAACUUUUUGUUUGAAUACUUUCUCUGUAAAGUUAGGGUUGAUUGAGAAAUGGAUAAGCUUCCAUUCUUGGAAUCGUUAAGAAAGUUGGCUGGUCAGUUACAUCGCUUUUGUUACACUGAUGGAGUCUUGGAGGUAGCACAGAUAAGGCUUCUUCUAGGGAAGUAGGUAGAAGAUGUUUUAAGUGAAUUUCUAGGUUUAAUGGUUCUGUAUCUCUUAUUAACAGUCAAUAUUAAUGAGGAAUCACAACACUAUCCAGUUGGUACUUAUAGGUGAAACCAAACUGGUUAUAUAACUUGAAAACAAAGCAUGUUGGUUGAUCUCUGCUCAUCUUGGCAGAACACGUCAUAUCCACUUCUCUGAAAAAUGACAUGAAAUUGAAACA
Molecule: long non-coding RNA, 4286 nt
Organism: Cornus florida
Lineage: Eukaryota; Viridiplantae; Streptophyta; Magnoliopsida; Cornales; Cornaceae
Exons: 7
Source: RefSeq, a predicted model, not a curated record